This 416-nucleotide ribosomal RNA is filed under the name uncultured Funneliformis. RNAcentral describes it as "partial 28S ribosomal RNA". The record is from RNAcentral. Lineage: Eukaryota; Fungi; Glomeromycota; Glomeromycetes; Glomerales; Glomeraceae.
GAGAGUUAAACAGUACGUGAAAUUGUUGAAAGGGAAACGAUUGAAGUCAGUCAUACUAACGGGAAAUCAACCUCUUGAGUUUGGUCUCGUGGGUUUCGAAGAGUUUUAAAAGCCUUCGGAUUUUCGAGAUUGGGCUCUUCUGGUGUACUUUCUCGUACGGUUAGUCAACAUCGGUUUUGAAUGUCAUAAAAUGACUGGAGGAAUGUGGCUUCGAUCUCGUAUUGAAGUGUUAUAGCCUUUGGUAGAUGUGAUGUUCGAGACCGAGGAUUGCAACGGAUACCCUUCUGGGCUAUUCGUCUGAUCUCUGAAACGUUGCCUUGAUGUCGAAAGCUUGCUUAUGAUGUUAAGGGUAUUACGGUCAAAAGGUUAGAACGGAUUAAAUUCGUUAAGGAUGUUGACGUAAUGACUUUAAACGA